GAUGAACGCUGGCGGCGUGCCUAAUACAUGCAAGUCGAGCGAACAGACGAGGAGCUUGCUCCUCUGACGUUAGCGGCGGACGGGUGAGUAACACGUGGAUAACCUACCUAUAAGACUGGGAUAACUUCGGGAAACCGGAGCUAAUACCGGAUAAUAUAUUGAACCGCAUGGUUCAAUAGUGAAAGACGGUUUUGCUGUCACUUAUAGAUGGAUCCGCGCCGCAUUAGCUAGUUGGUAAGGUAACGGCUUACCAAGGCAACGAUGCGUAGCCGACCUGAGAGGGUGAUCGGCCACACUGGAACGGAGAAACGGUCCAGACUCCUACGGGAGGCAGCAGUAGGGAAUCUUCCGCAAUGGGCGAAAGCCUGACGGAGCAACGCCGCGUGAGUGAUGAAGGUCUUCGGAUCGUAAAACUCUGUUAUUAGGGAAGAACAAAUGUGUAAGUAACUAUGCACGUCUUGACGGUACCUAAUCAGAAAGCCACGGCUAACUACGUG
This 497-nucleotide ribosomal RNA is filed under the name uncultured bacterium. Its description in RNAcentral is "partial 16S ribosomal RNA". It matches the Rfam family "Bacterial small subunit ribosomal RNA", at positions 28 to 507 of the family's 1533-position model. The record is from RNAcentral.